Molecule: ribosomal RNA, 497 nt
Filed under: uncultured bacterium
Lineage: Bacteria
Description: partial 16S ribosomal RNA
Rfam family: Bacterial small subunit ribosomal RNA
Source: RNAcentral
GAUGAACGCUGGCGGCGUGCCUAAUACAUGCAAGUCGAGCGAACAGACCAGGAUUUUGUUCCUCUGACGUUAGCGGCGGACGGGUGAGUAACACGUGGAUCACCUAUCUAUAAGACUCGGAUAACGUCUGGAAACCGGAGCCAAUACCGGAUAAUAUAUUGAACCGCAUGGUUCAAUAGUGAAAGACGGAUUUGCUGUUACUUGUAGAUGGAUCCGCGCCGCACUAGCUAGUUGGUAAGGUAACGGCUUACCAAGGCAACGAUGCGUAGCCGACCUGAGAGGGUGAUCGGCCACAGCGGAACUGAGACAGGGUCCCGACCCCUACGGGUAGCAGCAGUAGGAGAGCGGACGAUAUGAGCGAAAGCCGAACGGUGAUGCAGCGCGGGAGUGAGGGGGGUCUUCGGAUCCGGAAAGUCUACUACUUGGGAAGGAGAGAUAGGUAAGUGGCUGUAAGCGUGUUGACGGUACCGGAAGAAGAAGCCACGGCUAACUACGUG